UGCAAGUCGAGCGCGGGAAGCGAGUGGAUCCCUUCGGGGUGAAGCUCGUGGAACGAGCGGCGGACGGGUGAGUAACACGUGGGCAACCUGCCUGUAAGACCGGAAUAACCCCGGGAAACCGGGGCUAAUGCCGGGUAAUACUUUUCUUCGCAUGAAGGAAAGUUGAAAGAUGGCUUCUUGCUAUCACUUACAGAUGGGCCCGCGGCGCAUUAGCUAGUUGGUGAGGUAACGGCUCACCAAGGCGACGAUGCGUAGCCGACCUGAGAGGGUGAUCGGCCACACUGGGACUGAGACACGGCCCAGACUCCUACGGGAGGCAGCAGUAGGGAAUCUUCCGCAAUGGACGAAAGUCUGACGGAGCAACGCCGCGUGAACGAUGAAGGUCUUCGGAUCGUAAAGUUCUGUUGUUAGGGAAGAACAAGUACCGUGCGAAUAGAGCGGUACCUUGACGGUACCUAACGAGGAAGCCCCGGCUAACUACGUGCCAGCAGCCGCGGUAAUACGUAGGGGGCAAGCGUUGUCCGGAAUUAUUGGGCGUAAAGCGCGCGCAGGCGGUUCCUUAAGUCUGAUGUGAAAGCCCACGGCUCAACCGUGGAGGGUCAUUGGAAACUGGGGAACUUGAGGACAGAAGAGGAGAGUGGAAUUCCACGUGUAGCGGUGAAAUGCGUAGAUAUGUGGAGGAACACCAGUGGCGAAGGCGACUCUCUGGUCUGUUUCUGACGCUGAGGUGCGAAAGCGU
Molecule: ribosomal RNA, 739 nt
Filed under: Halobacillus sp.
Lineage: Bacteria; Bacillati; Bacillota; Bacilli; Caryophanales; Bacillaceae
Description: bacterial SSU rRNA
Rfam family: Bacterial small subunit ribosomal RNA
Source: RNAcentral